This 112-nucleotide ribosomal RNA is filed under the name Laelia superbiens. RNAcentral describes it as "partial 18S ribosomal RNA". It matches the Rfam family "Eukaryotic small subunit ribosomal RNA", at positions 1723 to 1831 of the family's 1831-position model. The record is from RNAcentral. Lineage: Eukaryota; Viridiplantae; Streptophyta; Magnoliopsida; Asparagales; Orchidaceae.
CGCGGGCGGUUCGCCGCCCGCGACUCUGCGAGAAGUCCAUUGAACCUUAUCAUUUAGAGGAAGGAGAAGUCGUAACAAGGUUUCCGUAGGUGAACCUGCGGAAGGAUCAUUG